AAAACAAAACAAUUGCAAACUUCACAUCUCUUGUUUUAUGCAAGAUCCUGAUCACAAAUUAAAUCAUAAUGAUUUUUGUUUCUAUUAAAAAGUAAACAUAUGUACAAAGAAAGGAGAGGCAAAAGGGAGGGGUUAUGGAAGGAGCUGGGGGAGUACGACACGGGCUGGAGGCAGAUAGACAGACAGUAGAGACAGACAGACAGUAGAGACAGACAGACAGGCAGACAGACAGGCAGUAGAGACAGACAGACAGACAGGCAGUAGAGACAGACAUGUGCUCUACGGUAACACUGCUCUCCAGACAGACAGCAGAGAGAGGCAGACAGACAGACAGGUGCUCUACGGUAACACUGCUCUCCAGACAGACAGCAGAGAGAGGCAGACAGACAGUAGGAGACAGACAGACAGACAGGCAGUAGAGACAGACAGACAGACAGGCAGUAGAGACAGACAGGUGCUCGACGGUAACACUGCUCUCCAGACAGACAGCAGAGAGAGGCAGACAGACAGUAGGAGACAGACAGACAGACAGACAGGCAGUAGAGACAGACAGACAGACAGGCAGUAGAGACAGACAGGUGCUCUACGGUUCACUUCCACACUUUGACAAUGCCGUCGCGGGAGGACGUGACGAUGAAGCCCUGCGUGGUCUGGAAGGUGGCGAUGUCCGU
Gadus macrocephalus (Pacific cod) is the source of this 671-nucleotide long non-coding RNA. RefSeq lists it as uncharacterized. The transcript has 5 exons. NCBI's taxonomy places the organism in Eukaryota, Metazoa, Chordata, Actinopteri, Gadiformes, Gadidae. The record is from RefSeq and is a predicted model, not a curated record.